Molecule: ribosomal RNA, 253 nt
Filed under: uncultured bacterium
Lineage: Bacteria
Description: partial 16S ribosomal RNA
Rfam family: Bacterial small subunit ribosomal RNA
Source: RNAcentral
UACGUAGGGCGCAAGCGUUGUCUGGAAUUAUUGGGCGUAAAGGGCGCGUAGGCGGCCACGCACGUCCGUUGUGAAAUCGCCCGGCUCAACUGGGCGGGGUCAGCGGAUACGGUGUGGCUAGAGCAAGCUAGGGGGCAAUGGAAUUCCCGGUGUAGUGGUGGAAUGCGUAGAUAUCGGGAGGAACACCAGUGGCGAAGGCGGUUGCCUGGAGCUUUGCUGACGCUGAUGCGCGAAAGCGUGGGGAGCGAUCCGG